RNAcentral lists this ribosomal RNA (468 nucleotides) under uncultured bacterium. RNAcentral's name for it is "partial 16S ribosomal RNA". It matches the Rfam family "Bacterial small subunit ribosomal RNA", at positions 28 to 507 of the family's 1533-position model. The record is from RNAcentral.
GACGAACGCUGGCGGCGUGCUUAACACAUGCAAGUCGAACGGAAAGGCCCUGCUUUUGUGGGGUGCUCGAGUGGCGAACGGGUGAGUAACACGUGAGUAACCUGCCCUUGACUUUGGGAUAACUUCAGGAAACUGGGGCUAAUACCGGAUAGGAGCUCCUGCUGCAUGGUGGGGGUUGGAAAGUUUCGGCGGUUGGGGAUGGACUCGCGGCUUAUCAGCUUGUUGGUGGGGUAGUGGCUUACCAAGGCUUUGACGGGUAGCCGGCCUGAGAGGGUGACCGGCCACAUUGGUACUGCGAUACGGCCCAGACUCCUACGGGCGGCAGCAGUGGGGAAUAUUGCGCAAUGGGCGGAAGCCUGAUGCAGCAACGCCGCGUGCGGGAUGACGGCCUUCGGGUUGUAAACCGCUUUCGCCUGUGACGAAGCGUGAGUGACGGUAAUGGGUAAAGAAGCACCGGCUAACUACGUG